This 322-nucleotide ribosomal RNA is filed under the name uncultured bacterium. Its description in RNAcentral is "bacterial SSU rRNA". It matches the Rfam family "Bacterial small subunit ribosomal RNA", at positions 335 to 646 of the family's 1533-position model. The record is from RNAcentral.
ACUCCUACGGGAGGCAGCAGUGGGGAAUAUUGCACAAUGGGGAAGCCCAUCGAUGCAGCCAUGCCGCGUGUAUGAAGAAGGCCUUCGGGUUGGUAAAGAUACUUUCAGCAGUGAGGAAGGCGGGUACGUUAAUAGCGUGCUCGUUUGACGUUAGCUGCAGAAGAAGCACCGGCUAACUCCGUGCCAGCAGCCGCGGUAAUACGGAGGGUGCGAGCGUUAAUCGGAAUUACUGGGCGUAAAGCGCAUGCAGGUGGUUUGUUAAGUCAGAUGUGAAAGCCCGGGGCUUAACCUCGGAAUAGCAUUUGAAACUGGCAGACUAGAG